RNAcentral lists this long non-coding RNA (593 nucleotides) under Sorghum bicolor (sorghum). RNAcentral's name for it is "long non-coding RNA (SBIC_LNC001950)". The record is from RNAcentral. Lineage: Eukaryota; Viridiplantae; Streptophyta; Magnoliopsida; Poales; Poaceae.
AAGUUUCAACUAUAAAGUUUUAAAUCUUGCCGAGCUCUUCAAAUUUGAUAAAGGGUCUGUCUCCAACCGAGAUACUUUGAAGAUUCGAAAGAUAAUUUGAAAUUUUGAAAAAAUUGAAUAUCGAAAUAUGAGAACAUUGAAAUAAAUAAUUGUGACUCUAAAUAUUUUUCAUAUGGAAAACUUUACAACAGCAAAGUUCUGUAUUGCAUUGACAGCUACCACUUUAUUAUGGAUCAUGUCAACAUCUCAUUUGAAAUUUCUAAAUUAAAUUUUAAAAUCUUAAAUCACAAUAUGAAUAUUAGGGAAUCUAAAUGACUUUGAAUAAGAAACUUAUUAUCUAAAAAAUUGUUGAUCAUACUGAGAACUAAAACUUUUAUUUAGAUCAUGCCAACAUCUGAGAUUGGUUUAACAUUUUUAAUUUUAAUUUCAAAAUCUAAAAGCCUAAACAAAUUUUUGAGACUAAAGAAUUUCCAAUAAAAAAUUAGAAAAUACAAAAAAAAAUAGAUCACAUGGAGCUCUACAAUUCUCGUACAAAGUUUGACUUCACUUGAGUUCAUGUAAAAAUUGUCCACCUAUGUUAAUCAUUAUUUCAG